GAAUUGAACUCAGGACCUCUGGAAGAGC
RNAcentral lists this non-coding RNA (28 nucleotides) under Cricetulus griseus (Chinese hamster). RNAcentral also lists the same sequence under 1 other name. Lineage: Eukaryota; Metazoa; Chordata; Mammalia; Rodentia; Cricetidae. The record is from RNAcentral.